UGAGGAAUAUUGGUCAAUGGACGCAAGUCUGAACCAGCCAAGUAGCGUGCAGGAUGACGGCACUAUGGGUUGUAAACUGCUUUUAUAUGGGGAUAAAGUGGGGAACGUGUUCCCUUUUGCAGGUACCAUAUGAAUAAGGACCGGCUAAUUCCGUGCCAGCAGCCGCGGUAAUACGGAAGGUUCGGGCGUUAUCCGGAUUUAUUGGGUUUAAAGGGAGCGUAGGCCGUUUGGUAAGCGUGUUGUGAAAUGUAGGAGCUCAACUUCUAGAUUGCAGCGCGAACUGUCAGACUUGAGUGCGCACAACGUAGGCGGAAUUCAUGGUGUAGCGGUGAAAUGCUUAGAUAUCAUGAAGAACUCCGAUUGCGAAGGCAGCUUACGGGAGCGCAACUGACGCUGAAGCUCGAAGGUGCGGGUAUCGAACAGG
Molecule: ribosomal RNA, 424 nt
Filed under: Verrucomicrobiota bacterium
Lineage: Bacteria; Pseudomonadati; Verrucomicrobiota
Description: Verrucomicrobia bacterium partial 16S ribosomal RNA
Rfam family: Bacterial small subunit ribosomal RNA
Source: RNAcentral